This 384-nucleotide long non-coding RNA is filed under the name Ananas comosus (pineapple). Its description in RNAcentral is "long non-coding RNA (ACOM_LNC027655)". Lineage: Eukaryota; Viridiplantae; Streptophyta; Magnoliopsida; Poales; Bromeliaceae. The record is from RNAcentral.
AUUGGUAAUUGAUAUUGCGAAAAUUAUAUCUGCUAUGUUAUUUCAUUUGAUUCGAUAUAAUUAGAAAUAUAGUAUAGUUGGAUAUAUGUAAUUAAAAAUAUAGCAGUUAUAAUUAUAUAAAUUUUAUUUGGUUGGAUGCCGUGAAAAACACUAUAAAUAUAAAUAAUUUAUUUGAUUGUAUGCAAUUGAGAUGUGCAUUUCUAAAAUUUGUCACUGUAUAUACAUGUAAUGGUGAGAUUACCUCCAAUCUAGAACAUAAAAUUAUUUUCUGUUUAAAAAGUGAUUAGGAAAGUAAAAUUACCUUCCAUUUAAAGCUAUUGUCUCUAAUUGGUGUAGUCAGAAUUACAGUCAAUUUGGAAAUAAUUCCAACUGCUGCAGUUUAAC